UGGCUCAGAGGUUAAGAGCACUGGUUGUUCUUCCAGAGGUCCUGAGUUCAAUUCUCAG
Molecule: transfer RNA, 58 nt
Filed under: Mesocricetus auratus (golden hamster)
Lineage: Eukaryota; Metazoa; Chordata; Mammalia; Rodentia; Cricetidae
Also listed under: 2 other names
Source: Rfam by way of RNAcentral